AGAGUUUGAUCCUGGCUCAGGACGAACGCUGGCGGCGUGCUUAACACAUGCAAGUCGAACGGUAAGGCCCUUCGGGGUACACGAGUGGCGAACGGGUGAGUAACACGUGGGUAAUCUGCCCUGCACAUCGGGAUAAGCCUGGGAAACUGGGUCUAAUACCGAAUAGGACCACAGGACACAUGUCCUGUGGUGGAAAGCUUUUGCGGUGUGGGAUGGGCCCGCGGCCUAUCAGCUUGUUGGUGGGGUGAUGGCCUACCAAGGCGACGACGGGUAGCCGGCCUGAGAGGGUGUCCGGCCACACUGGGACUGAGAUACGGCCCAGACUCCUACGGGAGGCAGCAGUGGGGAAUAUUGCACAAUGGGCGAAAGCCUGAUGCAGCGACGCCGCGUGGGGGAUGACGGCCUUCGGGUUGUAAACCUCUUUCACCAUCGACGAAGGUCCGGGUUUUCUCGGGCUGACGGUAGGUGGAGAAGAAGCACCGGCCAACUACGUGCCAGCAGCCGCGGUAAUACGUAGGGUGCGAGCGUUGUCCGGAAUUACUGGGCGUAAAGAGCUCGUAGGUGGUUUGUCGCGUUGUUCGUGAAAUCUCACGGCUUAACUGUGAGCGUGCGGGCGAUACGGGCAGACUUGAGUACUGCAGGGGAGACUGGAAUUCCUGGUGUAGCGGUGGAAUGCGCAGAUAUCAGGAGGAACACCGGUGGCGAAGGCGAGUCUCUGGGCAGUAACUGAUGCUGAGGAGCGAAAGCGUGGGGAGCGAACAGGAUUAGAUACCCUGGUAGUCC
This 783-nucleotide ribosomal RNA is filed under the name uncultured bacterium. Its description in RNAcentral is "bacterial SSU rRNA". It matches the Rfam family "Bacterial small subunit ribosomal RNA", at positions 8 to 796 of the family's 1533-position model. The record is from RNAcentral.